GCACAUAUUGUGAGCUCGAUGAGUAGGGCGGGACACGUGGUAUCCUGUCUGAAUAUGGGGGGCCCAUCCUCCAAGGCUAAAUACUCCUGACUGACCGAUAGUGAACCAGUACCGUGAGGGAAAGGCGAAAAGAACCCCGGCGAGGGGAGUGAAAAAGAACCUGAAACCGUGUACGUACAAGCAGUGGGAGCACGCUUAGGCGUGUGACUGCGUACCUUUUGUAUAAUGGGUCAGCGACUUAUAUUCUGUAGCAAGGUUAACCGAAUAGGGGAGCCGAAGGGAAACCGAGUCUUAACUGGGCGUUAAGUUGCAGGGUAUAGACCCGAAACCCGGUGAUCUAGCCAUGGGCAGGUUGAAGGUUGGGUAACACUAACUGGAGGACCGAACCGACUAAUGUUGAAAAAUUAGCGGAUGACUUGUGGCUGGGGGUGAAAGGCCAAUCAAACCGGGAGAUAGCUGGUUCUCCCCGAAAGCUAUUUAGGUAGCGCCUCGUGAAUUCAUCUCCGGGGGUAGAGCACUGUUUCGGCAAGGGGGUCAUCCCGACUUACCAACCCGAUGCAAACUGCGAAUACCGGAGAAUGUUAUCACGGGAGACACACGGCGGGUGCUAACGUCCGUCGUGAAGAGGGAAACAACCCAGACCGCCAGCUAAGGUCCCAAAGUCAUGGUUAAGUGGGAAACGAUGUGGGAAGGCCCAGACAGCCAGGAUGUUGGCUUAGAAGCAGCCAUCAUUUAAAGAAAGCGUAAUAGCUCACUGGUCGAGUCGGCCUGCGCGGAAGAUGUAACGGGGCUAAACCAUGCACCGAAGCUGCGGCAGCGACGCUUAUGCGUUGUUGGGUAGGGGAGCGUUCUGUAAGCCUGCGAAGGUGUGCUGUGAGGCAUGCUGGAGGUAUCAGAAGUGCGAAUGCUGACAUAAGUAACGAUAAAGCGGGUGAAAAGCCCGCUCGCCGGAAGACCAAGGGUUCCUGUCCAACGUUAAUCGGGGCAGGGUGAGUCGACCCCUAAGGCGAGGCCGAAAGGCGUAGUCGAUGGGAAACAGGUUAAUAUUCCUGUACUUGGUGUUACUGCGAAGGGGGGACGGAGAAGGCUAUGUUGGCCGGGCGACGGUUGUCCCGGUUUAAGCGUGUAGGCUGGUUUUCCAGGCAAAUCCGGAAAAUCAAGGCUGAGGCGUGAUGACGAGGCACUACGGUGCUGAAGCAACAAAUGCCCUGCUUCCAGGAAAAGCCUCUAAGCAUCAGGUAACAUCAAAUCGUACCCCAAACCGACACAGGUGGUCAGGUAGAGAAUACCAAGGCGCUUGAGAGAACUCGGGUGAAGGAACUAGGCAAAAUGGUGCCGUAACUUCGGGAGAAGGCACGCUGAUAUGUAGGUGAAGUCCCUUGCGGAUGGAGCUGAAAUCAGUCGAAGAUACCAGCUGGCUGCAACUGUUUAUUAAAAACACAGCACUGUGCAAACACGAAAGUGGACGUAUACGGUGUGACGCCUGCCCGGUGCCGGAAGGUUAAUUGAUGGGGUCAGCGCAAGCGAAGCUCUUGAUCGAAGCCCCGGUAAACGGCGGCCGUAACUAUAACGGUCCUAAGGUAGCGAAAUUCCUUGUCGGGUAAGUUCCGACCUGCACGAAUGGCGUAAUGAUGGCCAGGCUGUCUCCACCCGAGACUCAGUGAAAUUGAACUCGCUGUGAAGAUGCAGUGUACCCGCGGCAAGACGGAAAGACCCCGUGAACCUUUACUAUAGCUUGACACUGAACAUUGAGCCUUGAUGUGUAGGAUAGGUGGGAGGCUUUGAAGUGUGGACGCCAGUCUGCAUGGAGCCGGCCUUGAAAUACCACCCUUUAAUGUUUGAUGUUCUAACGUGGACCCGUGAUCCGGGUUGCGGACAGUGUCUGGUGGGUAGUUUGACUGGGGCGGUCUCCUCCUAAAGAGUAACGGAGGAGCACGAAGGUUGGCUAAUCCUGGUCGGACAUCAGGAGGUUAGUGCAAUGGCAUAAGCCAGCUUGACUGCGAGCGUGACGGCGCGAGCAGGUGCGAAAGCAGGUCAUAGUGAUCCGGUGGUUCUGAAUGGAAGGGCCAUCGCUCAACGGAUAAAAGGUACUCCGGGGAUAACAGGCUGAUACCGCCCAAGAGUUCAUAUCGACGGCGGUGUUUGGCACCUCGAUGUCGGCUCAUCACAUCCUGGGGCUGAAGUAGGUCCCAAGGGUAUGGCUGUUCGCCAUUUAAAGUGGUACGCGAGCUGGGUUUAGAACGUCGUGAGACAGUUCGGUCCCUAUCUGCCGUGGGCGCUGGAGAACUGAGGGGGGCUGCUCCUAGUACGAGAGGACCGGAGUGGACGCAUCACUGGUGUUCGGGUUGUCAUGCCAAUGGCACUGCCCGGUAGCUAAAUGCGGAAGAGAUAAGUGCUGAAAGCAUCUAAGCACGAAACUUGCCCCGAGAUGAGUUCUCCCUGACCCUUUAAGGGUCCUGAAGGAACGUUGAAGACGACGACGUUGAUAGGCCGGGUGUGUAAGCGCAGCGAUGCGUUGAGCUAACCGGUACUAAUGAACCGUGAGG
RNAcentral lists this ribosomal RNA (2546 nucleotides) under Shigella sonnei. RNAcentral describes it as "partial 23S ribosomal RNA". It matches the Rfam family "Bacterial large subunit ribosomal RNA", at positions 390 to 2915 of the family's 2925-position model. The record is from RNAcentral. Lineage: Bacteria; Pseudomonadati; Pseudomonadota; Gammaproteobacteria; Enterobacterales; Enterobacteriaceae.